CGUCUAUAUACGUAUAGCAUAUCAAUAAGCGGAGGAAAAGAAACUAACAAGGAUUCCCAUAGUAACGGCGAGUGAAGCGGGAAGAGCUCAAAUUUGAAAUCUUCAAGGUUCUACCUUGACGAAUUGUAGUUUAAAGAAGUGUUUUCUGUUAGAGGAGUAGCAGAAGUUCCUUGGAAUGGGACAUCAUAGAGGGUGAGAAUCCCGUAUUUGGUUAUUCUUUCUAGCUUUGUGAUACACUUUCAAAGAGUCGGAUUGUUUGGGAAUGCAGUCCAAAAUGGGUGGUAAAUUUCAUCUAAAGCUAAAUAUUGGCGAGAGACCGAUAGCGAACAAGUACCGUGAGGGAAAGAUGAAAAGAACUUUGAAAAGAGAGUUAAACAGUACGUGAAAUUGUCAAAAGGGAAGCGUUUGACACCAGUGUUGUUUUUCCGAAAAUCAAUUAAGAGUGGCUUGAUUUUGUGUUGUAUUGACCUUAUCAGCUUUCUUCACUCUUUUUCGAGUCUUUCUUAAUGCACUUUUCGGUUAACAAGUCAACAUCAAUUUCUUUUGUUGUAAAAGGGUAUUUGGAAGGUGGCUUUCUUUUCGGAGAAAGUGUUUAUAGCCUUAUACCUCUACAAUCGGAGAGAUUGAGGUCUGCAGCGUAGAUCCUUCGGGGCUAGAUACACUUGUGCUAAGUUAUAGCUUUUCAUAGACAACUUGUUGACUAUGUUUAGUCAUGUAGCUUACCCGCUUGUGCUAUUUUACCUACGCUUAGGAUGUUGAGUCAUCACACAUCUCU
RNAcentral lists this ribosomal RNA (775 nucleotides) under uncultured Neocallimastigales. RNAcentral describes it as "partial large subunit ribosomal RNA". It matches the Rfam family "Eukaryotic large subunit ribosomal RNA", at positions 26 to 618 of the family's 3401-position model. Lineage: Eukaryota; Fungi; Neocallimastigomycota; Neocallimastigomycetes; Neocallimastigales. The record is from RNAcentral.